CACCAGAAGUAGAUAGCUUAACCUUCGGGAGGGCGUUUACCACGGUGUGGUUCAUGACUGGGGUGAAGUCGUAACAAGGUAGCCCUAGGGGAACCUGGGGCUGGAUCACCUCCUUAACGA
This 120-nucleotide ribosomal RNA is filed under the name Photobacterium alginatilyticum. RNAcentral's name for it is "partial 16S ribosomal RNA". It matches the Rfam family "Bacterial small subunit ribosomal RNA", at positions 1418 to 1533 of the family's 1533-position model. The record is from RNAcentral. Lineage: Bacteria; Pseudomonadati; Pseudomonadota; Gammaproteobacteria; Vibrionales; Vibrionaceae.